GUCGAACGAAAAGUAGGAGCAUACCAUGAGUAAAGUGGCGCACGGGAUGAGUAACACGUGACUAACCUACCCUUGAGUGGGGGAUAACCUCGGGAAACCGGGGCUAAUACCGCAUAAUACCUACGGGUCAAAGGAGCAAUUCGCUUUAGGAGGGGGUCGCGGCAGAUUAGUUAGUUGGCGGGGUAAUGGCCCACCAAGACGGUGAUCUGUAUCCGGCCUGAGAGGGCGCACGGACACACUGGAACUGAAACACGGUCCAGACUCCUACGGGAGGCAGCAGUGGGGAAUUUUGCGCAAUGGGGGAAACCCUGACGCAGCAACGCCGCGUGGAGGAUGAAGUCCCUUGGGACGUAAACUCCUUUCGAUCGGGACGAUUAUGACGGUACCGGAAGAAGAAGCCCCGGCUAACUUCGUGCCAGCAGCCGCGGUAAUACGAGGGGGGCGAGCGUUGUUCGGAAUUAUUGGGCGUAAAGGGCGCGUAGGCGGUCGGAUAAGUCUUGUGUGAAAUCUUCGGGCUCAACUCGAAGUCUGCACAGGAAACUAUCUGGCUUGAGUGUGGGAGAGGUGAGUGGAAUUCCUGGUGUAGCGGUGAAAUGCGUAGAUAUCAGGAGGAACACCUGUGGCGAAAGCGGCUCACUGGACCACAACUGACGCUGAGGCGCGAAAGCUAGGGGAGCAAACAGGAUUAGAUACCCUGGUAGUCCUAGCCCUAAACGAUGAUCGCUUGGUGUGACGGGUACCCAAUCCCGCCGUGCCGAAGCUAACGCGUUAAGCGAUCCGCCUGGGGAGUACGGUCGCAAGGCUGAAACUCAAAGGAAUUUGACGGGGGCCCGCACAAGCGGUGGACCAUGUGGUUUAA
This 859-nucleotide ribosomal RNA is filed under the name uncultured soil bacterium. RNAcentral describes it as "bacterial SSU rRNA". It matches the Rfam family "Bacterial small subunit ribosomal RNA", at positions 61 to 949 of the family's 1533-position model. The record is from RNAcentral.